UACGUAGGGUGCAAGCGUUGUCCGGAAUUAUUGGGCGUAAAGAGCUCGUAGGCGGUCUGUCGCGUCUGCUGUGAAAACUCAGGGCUUAACCCUGAGCUUGCAGUGGGUACGGGCAGACUAGAGUGCGGUAGGGGAGACUGGAAUUCCUGGUGUAGCGGUGAAAUGCGCAGAGAUCCGGAGGAACACCAGCGGCGAAGGCGGCAUCCUGGACUGGUCCUGACACUCAGGAGCGAAAGCGUGGGGAGCGAUCCGG
RNAcentral lists this ribosomal RNA (253 nucleotides) under uncultured bacterium. RNAcentral's name for it is "partial 16S ribosomal RNA". It matches the Rfam family "Bacterial small subunit ribosomal RNA", at positions 524 to 776 of the family's 1533-position model. The record is from RNAcentral.